RNAcentral lists this unclassified non-coding RNA (166 nucleotides) under soil metagenome. RNAcentral describes it as "partial contains 5.8S ribosomal RNA, internal transcribed spacer 2, and large subunit ribosomal RNA". The record is from RNAcentral.
AACGCACGAGACCUGCGGACCUGCGGAGGGAUCAUUAGUGAACGCCCUCACGGGCUUAUAACUAUUCCAAACCUCUGUGAGCCGUGCCCUUCGGGGCUAUUUUACAAACAUGGUGUAAUGAACGUCAUAUAUCAUAACAAAACAAAACUUUCAGCAACGGAUCUCU